Molecule: long non-coding RNA, 2118 nt
Organism: Oryzias sinensis (Chinese medaka)
Lineage: Eukaryota; Metazoa; Chordata; Actinopteri; Beloniformes; Adrianichthyidae
Source: Ensembl
GAAGGCACUAAAGGUGAAUUUCUUUUUGGAAAAUGAAAGAUGGUGCCCUUUUUCUGAGGUCAGAGGUCAAUGAAAUUUCAGUUGUGGCUGUAGACCUAAGCUGGUGGCACGUGUGAGAAAUUUUGUGACGAUCGCUUUUCCUAAAUUAGAGGAAAUGUUUAAAAAAAAGAAGAAAUAAUUGCCAAAUUUCACACUGUACCUGCCAUAGGUCCUGUGGCCAUCCCAUAAUCCUUUCAAAAACACAUGUUUGGGUUUUGUUAGUGAAUUUUGAACUAUUUUUUUGUUUACUCCCAUAAAAAAGUUUUGGCCUUUUUAUUUUUUUUGGGGGGAUAUUUUGCCUGCUGUGAUGUCAUCGUUUUUGUUUUUUUUUUUGUUUUUUUUUCACAGGCUUCUGUGUUUUUGCAAAUGUUCUGAGUUUCCACAUAUUUGUCUGUUCUGAAUCAUUCUGCCUCUGAACUUCUCUUUUGUUUCCUGUUGGGAGAUGUGAAAACCAUGGGAGGUGCUGCUCUGAGUGUCAGGGUGGGGCAGGGAGUUGAGCACAUUCCUUUCUUGCAGGGAAUGUAGAAAAAGACAAAAAGCAAAGCUUUCAAGCCGGACCUGUCCAACCUGCCGUCCACACGUCGAGCUCAUUCUGAGCAGAGCAGCCAAAGAGGAGCCUCUCUUCAUCUGACGCAGCAUGUCGGGACGGCUGUCAUGUGUUUAACAGCCACUUUCCUCACAUGUCAGAGCGGGAACACAGAAUGUGGUGGUGGGGACCUGAGAGACAACACACAGAGUCCUGCAAACUUCAGAUGAAUCAGACACUUGGGUCUCUCAGGACGCUUCAACUCUGGUUGAGCUUGGCUCCAGCAGGUGUAAUGUGGUGGAUCUGCCAGCUGGAGGCGCUGCUUCACUCCUCCGCAUCCCAGGUGGAGGUGUGCUCCAGGCUGCUGUUGGUGUGUCUGCUGUGCGUGGUGCUGGCGGUCUCUUUGCGGGCCCUGAGGCACCGCCUGGGGCCCCGGCAGAGCCAGGAAACAAAAUCCAAACAGCAUCAGGAAGCUGUUCGCUUAAGCAGGAAUAACCACCAUGUAUGGAUGUCCGAAAACAGAAUCCCAGAUGUCCAAGUUCCUGUUUCCGUCGCUCUGGCAGACUCUGUGCUCCUCUGUGUCCUUCAGGAGCCCCUCCAGGACCCCAGUGUGGCCAACAUCGAAGCUCUCCUCUCCAGGUUAGAGGCAGUGUCUCAGUCUCUGGAGAAGAUUGGCCUCGGAUCAGAAGCAAAACCAGAGAACGGAGGCGGCGCGCUGUCAAACAUAGUAAAGCUGACCUCUGACUACCUGCGGGACAGGAAUAGGAUUUUGCACGCUCUCGUCCAGGUGCAGGGCCUGGACGGCCUCUGGAAGCAGCUGGAGGAGCUGCACGCGGGGGUCACGCUGUCCAAACGGGAAGGUCAAGGUCACAAGGACCUGGCUUCGGCCCAGACGGAGGCGGAGGUGAGCCUGCCAGCAGAGCGUAAAGUACUACCAGUGCUGCAGCAGACACCGUCUGUCUGGAAACAGCUGAUAGACUCACACACAACAGAUACAGUUAAAGUGCCACUCCAGUCAUCGUUAGAUCUAUUUUAAAAGUGAUCCCGGAGGUCUUCUGAUCAUGAUUAUGCUGUUUUUAGCCAAAAUCAAACAAACCUGUGACGUUUUCUAGAACACAGUUUCUGCAGAGCGGCAGUAGUUCAUUAGAAAUUCAUCUCUGAGUAUGCUGUUGGCAUAGAGCAACCCCGCCCCUCUUCCCUUUCCUGUUCCUAAGAAGUCCCUGCUUAAGCAGAGUAGGGAGCCUGUGGCCCGCCUGGCACAUUUUCUACAUCACAAAUAAUCUUCUUUACAAAUGUUUUUUUUCUGCUCCUGAUUUAUGAUGACUGAAAAACACUCAGAAAUGAAAUUUAAAGCUUAAUAUUCUUUAUACUGUACAGACCAAUAGUUUGGACACACCUUCUCGUUCAAAUGAAUGGGAAGGUGUGUCCAAACUUUUGGUCUGUACUGUAUAUGUCCUCCAUCAUCAGAAAAAUGCCACAAGAACAUGUUAAAUAUACCAAAACCAGCAUUUUCAUCGGAGUGGGCCUUUAAGAGACUCAGAAUAGAAUAGAAU